RNAcentral lists this transfer RNA (72 nucleotides) under Prevotellaceae bacterium. Its description in RNAcentral is "tRNA-Met". It matches the Rfam family "tRNA". Rfam says of the family: Transfer RNA (tRNA) molecules are approximately 80 nucleotides in length. Their secondary structure includes four short double-helical elements and three loops (D, anti-codon, and T loops). The record is from RNAcentral. Lineage: Bacteria; Pseudomonadati; Bacteroidota; Bacteroidia; Bacteroidales; Prevotellaceae.
CGCGGAGUAGAGAAGUGGCAGCUCGUCAGGCUCAUAACCUGAAGGUCGUUGGUUCGAAUCCUUCCUCCGCUA